GGACCCGCACAAGUAGUGGAGCAUGUGGUUUAAUUCGAAGAUACGCGCAGAACCUUACCAACACUUGACAUGUUCGUCGCGACUUUAAGAGAUUAAAGUUUUCGGUUCGGCCGGACGAAACACAGGUGCUGCAUGGCUGUCGUCAGCUCGUGUCGUGAGAUGUUGGGUUAAGUCCCGCAACGAGCGCAACCCUCACUUUUAGUUGCCAUCAUUUAGUUGGGCACUCUGAAAGAACUGCCAGUGAUAAGCUGGAGGAAGGUGGGGAUGACGUCAAGUCCUCAUGGCCCUUACGUGUUGGGCUACACACGUGCUACAAUGAUAUUUACAACAGGAAGCAAAACGGCGACGUUAAGCAAAUCCUUAAAAAAUAUCUCAGUUCGGAUUGCACUCUGCAACUCGAGUGCAUGAAGCUGGAAUU
This 418-nucleotide ribosomal RNA is filed under the name uncultured bacterium. RNAcentral describes it as "bacterial SSU rRNA". It matches the Rfam family "Bacterial small subunit ribosomal RNA", at positions 917 to 1333 of the family's 1533-position model. The record is from RNAcentral.